AGAGCAUUUGGUGGAUGCCUUGGCAUAAAGAGGCGAUGAAGGACGUGACAGACUGCGAUAAGCUCGGGCUUGCUGUCAAUAAGCUUAACCCGAGAUUUCCGAAUGGGGAAACCCGAUUACUUAUAAGUGAAUUCAUAGCUUAUAAGGGCGAACCUAGGGAACUGAAACAUCUAAGUACCUAGAGGAAAAGAUAUUCCGUUAGUAGUGGCGAGCGAACGCGGACCAGGCCAGUGCUACUUUUUACUAAACCAGAACUGUAUGGAAAGGCAGGCCAUAGUGAGUGAUAGCCUCGUAUGGGUAGAUAGUAAAAACUAGACAUGAGUAGGGCGGGACACGUGAAAUCCUGUCUGAAUAUAGGAAGACCACUUCCUAAGCCUAAAUACUACUUUAUGACCGAUAGUGAACCAGUACCGUGAGGGAAAGGCGAAAAGAACCCCUAGCAGGGGAGUGAAAUAGAACCUGAAACCGGAUGCUUACAAGCAGUUGGAGCCUCUUUGUGAGGUGACAGCGUACCUUUUGUAUAAUGGGUCAGUGACUUAAUUUAUUAAGCAAGCUUAAGCCAUCUAGGUGUAGGCGUAGCGAAAGCAAGUCUUAAUAGGGCGAUUAGUUUAAUGAAUUAGACCCGAAAACGAAUGAGCUUACCAUGAGCAGGUUGAAAGCAAGGUAACACUUGCCGGAGGACCGAACCAGUUGACGUUGAAAAGUCUUUGGAUGACUUGUGGUAAGGGGUGAAAGGCCAACCAAAUUCGUAGAUAGCUGGUUUUCCGCGAAAACUAUUUAGGUAGUGCGUUGAAUAAAUAGAUGUUUAGAGGUAGAGCACUAAAUGGGCUAGGGGGAAGAGAUUCUUACCAAACCUAAUAAAACUCCGAAUGCUAAACGUAGUUCUUCAACAGACAGACUGUGGGUGCUAAGGUCCAUGGUCGAGAGGGAAAGAGCCCAGACCACCAGAUAAGGUCCCAAAAUUAUGAUUAAGUGUGAAAGGAUGUGGAAAUUCCUUAACAGCCGGGAGGUUGGCUUAGAAGCAGCCAUCCUUUAAAGAUAGCGUAACAGCUCACCGGUCUAAUAGAGUUUCUGCGCCAAAGAUGUAACGGGGCUCAAAUCAUGUACCGAAUCUGUGGAUUUAUAAUUUCUUCGGAAAUUACAACUGGUAGCGGAACGUUCUGUAAGCCUGUGAAGGGAUACCCGUGAGGGAUCCUGGAGGUAUCAGAAGUGCGAAUGCUGACAUAAGUAACGAUUAACAGAGUGAAAAACUCUGUCGCCGAAAAUCCAAGGGUUCCUGCGCAAGGUUAAUCCGCGCAGGGUUAGUCGGUCCCUAAGUCGAGGGCGAGAGCCGUAGACGAUGGAAACAAGGUUAAUAUUCCUUGACCAGAUGGAAGUGACGGAUUUUGUAAGUUGUUAACUCUUAAUGGAUUGAGUUAGCCGCGAAAAAGUCCCAGGAAAUAGCUCCAUCAUUAGACCGUACCCUAAACCGACACAGGUGGAUUAAUAGAGUAUAUUUAGGCGCUUGAGAGAAUGAUGUUGAAGGAACUCGGCAAAAUGCUUCUGUAACUUCGGAAUAAAGAAGACCUUUUUUAGGGCAACCUAUUAAAGGGUGGCACAAGCCAGGGAGAAGCGACUGUUUAUCAAAAACACAGGGCUCUGCUAACACGUAAGUGGAUGUAUAGGGUCUGACGCCUGCCCGGUGCUGGAAGGUUAAUGCGAUGGGUGCAAGCUCAUUUCUGAAGCCCCAGUAAACGGCGGCCGUAACUAUAACGGUCCUAAGGUAGCGAAAUUCCUUGUCGGGUAAGUUCCGACCUGCACGAAUGGCGUAACGAUUUCUCCGCUGUCUCCAACAUCAACUCAGUGAAAUUGAAUUCUCCGUGAAGAUGCGGAGUUCGCGUAGUUAGACGGAAAGACCCCGUGCACCUUUACUAUAGCUUUGCAGUGGCAAUAGAGCUAGGAUGUGCAGGAUAGGUGGGAGACUUAGAACUUGUAGCGCCAGCUGUGAGGGAGUCAACCUUGAGAUACCACCCUUCCUCGCUUUGUUGUCUAACCGAGAUUAGUUAUCCUAAUCCGGGACCCUGCAUGGUGGGUAGUUUGACUGGGGCGGUCGCCUCCCAAAUAGUAACGGAGGCGUGCGAAGGUAAGCUCAGAACGGUCAGAAAUCGUUCGUAGAGUGCAAUGGCAUAAGCCUGCCUGACUGCGAGACUGACAAGUCGAGCAGAGACGAAAGUCGGUCAUAGUGAUCCGGUGGUUCUGAGUGGAAGGGCCAUCGCUCAACGGAUAAAAGGUACUCCGGGGAUAACAGGCUGAUACCGCCCAAGAGUUCAUAUCGACGGCGGUGUUUGGCACCUCGAUGUCGGCUCAUCACAUCCUGGGGCUGAAGUAGGUCCCAAGGGUAUGGCUGUUCGCCAUUUAAAGUGGUACGCGAGCUGGGUUUAGAACGUCGUGAGACAGUUCGGUCCCUAUCUGCCGUGGGCGCUGGAGAACUGAGGGGGGCUGCUCCUAGUACGAGAGGACCGGAGUGGACGCAUCACUGGUGUUCGGGUUGUCAUGCCAAUGGCACUGCCCGGUAGCUAAAUGCGGAAGAGAUAAGUGCUGAAAGCAUCUAAGCACGAAACUUGCCCCGAGAUGAGUUCU
RNAcentral lists this ribosomal RNA (2619 nucleotides) under seawater metagenome. Its description in RNAcentral is "bacterial LSU rRNA". It matches the Rfam family "Bacterial large subunit ribosomal RNA". The record is from RNAcentral.